UACAGAGGCCCCAAGCGUUACUGAGAAUCACUGGGUUUAAAGGGUGCGUAGGUGGUCCGUUAAGUUCGUUGUGAAAGCCCUGGGCUCAACCCAGGAACUGCUUCGAAUACUGGCGGACUUGAGGCUAGUAGAGGUCACUGGAACUGACGGUGGAGCGGUGAAAUGCGUAGAUAUCGUCAGGAACGCCAAUGGUGAAGACAGGUGACUGGGCUAGUACUGACACUGAGGCACGAAAGCGUGGGGAUCAAACAGG
Molecule: ribosomal RNA, 253 nt
Filed under: uncultured bacterium
Lineage: Bacteria
Description: partial 16S ribosomal RNA
Rfam family: Bacterial small subunit ribosomal RNA
Source: RNAcentral